UACGAAGGGGGCUAGCGUUGCUCGGAAUCACUGGGCGUAAAGGGUGCGUAGGCGGGUCUUUAAGUCAGGGGUGAAAUCCUGGAGCUCAACUCCAGAACUGCCUUUGAUACUGAAGAUCUUGAGUUCGGGAGAGGUGAGUGGAACUGCGAGUGUAGAGGUGAAAUUCGUAGAUAUUCGCAAGAACACCAGUGGCGAAGGCGGCUCACUGGCCCGAUACUGACGCUGAGUGAGCGAAAGCCAGGGGAGCAAACGGG
RNAcentral lists this ribosomal RNA (254 nucleotides) under uncultured bacterium. RNAcentral's name for it is "partial 16S ribosomal RNA". It matches the Rfam family "Bacterial small subunit ribosomal RNA", at positions 524 to 776 of the family's 1533-position model. The record is from RNAcentral.